RNAcentral lists this microRNA (23 nucleotides) under Mus musculus (house mouse). Its description in RNAcentral is "mmu-miR-6949-5p". Lineage: Eukaryota; Metazoa; Chordata; Mammalia; Rodentia; Muridae. The record is from miRBase by way of RNAcentral.
AAAGUGGGUCUAGAAAGAGGUGA